Molecule: ribosomal RNA, 253 nt
Filed under: uncultured bacterium
Lineage: Bacteria
Description: partial 16S ribosomal RNA
Rfam family: Bacterial small subunit ribosomal RNA
Source: RNAcentral
UACAGAGGUCCCAAGCGUUGUUCGGAUUCACUGGGCGUAAAAGGUGCGUAGGUGGUCGGGUAAGUCUGAUGUGAAAGCUCUGGGCUCAACCCAGAAAUGGCAUUGGAUACUAUCUGGCUAGAGGAAUGGAGGGGGGACUGGAAUACUUGGUGUAGCAGUGAAAUGCGUAGAUAUCAAGUGGAACACCAGUGGCGAAGGCGAGUCCCUGGACAUUUCCUGACACUGAGGCACGAAAGCUAGGGGAGCAAACAGG